RNAcentral lists this ribosomal RNA (468 nucleotides) under uncultured bacterium. RNAcentral's name for it is "partial 16S ribosomal RNA". It matches the Rfam family "Bacterial small subunit ribosomal RNA", at positions 28 to 507 of the family's 1533-position model. The record is from RNAcentral.
GACGAACGCUGGCGGCGGGCUUAACACAUGCAAGUCGAACGGAAAGGCCCUGCUUGUGUGGGGUGCUCGAGUGGCGAACGGGUGAGUAACACGUGAGUGACCUGCCCUUGACUUUGGGAUAACUUCAGGAAACUGGGGCUAAUACCGGAUAGGAGCUCCUGCUGCAUGGUGGGGGUUGGAAAGUUUCGGCGGUUGGGGAUGGACUCGCGGCGUAUCAGCUUGUUGGUGGGGUAGUGGCUUACCAAGGCUUUGACGGGUAGCCGGCCUGAGAGGGUGACCGGCCACAUUGGGACUGAGAUACGGCCCAGACUACUACGGGAGGCAGCAGUGGGGAAUAUUGCACAAUGGGCGGAAGCCUGAUGCAGCAACGCCGCGUGCGGGAUGACGGCCUUCGGGUUGUAAACCGCUUUCGCCUGUGACGAAGCGUGAGUGACGGUAAUGGGUAAAGAAGCACCGGCUAACUACGUG